This 232-nucleotide ribosomal RNA is filed under the name uncultured Actinomycetales bacterium. RNAcentral's name for it is "partial 16S ribosomal RNA". It matches the Rfam family "Bacterial small subunit ribosomal RNA", at positions 100 to 334 of the family's 1533-position model. The record is from RNAcentral. Lineage: Bacteria; Bacillati; Actinomycetota; Actinomycetes; Actinomycetales.
GGAACGGGUGAGUAACACGUGGGUGAUCUGCCCUGCACUUCGGGAUAAGCUUGGGAAACUGGGUCUAAUACCGGAUAGGACCGCACUUUAGUGUGUGUGGUGGAAAGUUUUUUCGGUGUAGGAUGAGCUCGCGGCCUAUCAGCUUGUUGGUGGGGUAAUGGCCUACCAAGGCGGCGACGGGUAGCCGGCCUGAGAGGGUGUACGGCCACAUUGGGACUGAGAUACGGCCCAG